AUCGGGGUGGGAGACAGUGUCAGGUGGGCAGUUUGACUGGGGCGGUCGCCUCCUAAAGAGUAACGGAGGCGCCCAAAGGUUCCCUCAGAAUGGUUGGAAAUCAUUCGCAGAGUGUAAAGGCACAAGGGAGCUUGACUGCGAGACCUACAAGUCGAGCAGGGACGAAAGUCGGGCUUAGUGAUCCGGUGGUUCCGCAUGGAAGGGCCAUCGCUCAACGGAUAAAAGCUACCCCGGGGAUAACAGGCUUAUCUCCCCCAAGAGUCCACAUCGACGGGGAGGUUUGGCACCUCGAUGUCGGCUCAUCGCAUCCUGGGGCUGUAGUCGGUCCCAAGGGUUGGGCUGUUCGCCCAUUAAAGCGGUACGCGAGCUGGGUUCAGAACGUCGUGAGACAGUUCGGUCCCUAUCCGUCGUGGGCGCAGGAAAUUUGAGAGGAGCUGUCCUUAGUACGAGAGGACCGGGAUGGACGCACCGCUGGUGUACCAGUUGUCUUGCCAAAGGCAUCGCUGGGUAGCUAUGUGCGGACGGGAUAAGUGCUGAAAGCAUCUAAGCAUGAAGCCCCCCUCAAGAUGAGAUUUCCCAUAGCGUCAAGCUAGUAAGA
This 598-nucleotide non-coding RNA is filed under the name Neobacillus niacini. RNAcentral describes it as "bacterial LSU rRNA". It matches the Rfam family "Bacterial large subunit ribosomal RNA", at positions 2238 to 2833 of the family's 2925-position model. The record is from RNAcentral. Lineage: Bacteria; Bacillati; Bacillota; Bacilli; Caryophanales; Bacillaceae.